RNA transcript from Labeo rohita (rohu), 3344 nucleotides. It is a transcript of the gene named adhesion G protein-coupled receptor F3b, with no coding region annotated. The record is from RefSeq and is a predicted model, not a curated record. The transcript has 19 exons. NCBI's taxonomy places the organism in Eukaryota, Metazoa, Chordata, Actinopteri, Cypriniformes, Cyprinidae.
CAUUCGUCAACUUUCCUUAAUUCUCAUUCAGCAGCAACUUUCAUUCUGGAAACUGGUUCACAGGGAACAUGUUGUCAUGACAGAUAACAUUGCUUAAAACUUGCUGAUCCUCUCUUUUAAAAUGCAGAUUGUAAGGAUCAAGACACUGUCUGGUGCAGGAAUGCUGCUUUUUGCGGCGCUAUUCAUUUUUAGCCAAACUUCAUAUGUUGGGUCCGCAGAGGUGACCUAUUGGGCAGAGGUCAUGAUUGAGGGAAAUAAAACCUUAAAUGUUGCAGUCUAUCUGCCUGGACUUGUAGGGACUGUUCUGGAUACAACAGGGGUAACUGUCACAAACGCUGAAAUAGCAGCAGAGUGUGAGAUAAUUGGUCAAAAUUCAACAUGCUGGUGUGGCCCAGAAUAUGUUUGGAGCAAUCUUGUGUGCGACAAUGUAAAUAAAUGCUGCAAUGUGGAAAAAUGUGUGGCAAAUAUAUCAUACUUCACACCUUUGUGUCUGCCAAAAGUGAAUGUUUCACUCAUUGGAGUGCUCACCGGGAGCCCCGCAACGGUCGAUACCAUGCUACUGAAUGCUUUUAAUGUGCUAAAUGCCUUCAACUCAUUGACUAUGCAAGGCACCCUUUACACAGGAUUAAAUACGUACGCUCACAAUUUCACAGUGUCUCUUAGUUCUGUGUUUGCCACCGUCAAAGUUCAAAACAUAAUUACUACACUGCUGACGGAUCCAACCAUUUACAGCCUCAGUGUUAAGUCACUAGGCAUGGUAUACAUGGAGGCACCUACAGGGAAAGUGUGUUAUAAUUCAAAACAGCAGCUGAACUGUACCAGUAUAGAGGCUAUGGGCAAAUGCGUGUGGCAGAUGACCAGAGAUGAUGUAUCGGCAUUGACUCUGGGACCAGGGAGUGAAGUACAGCUAUCAGAUACUUGCACAGAACUCUCAUCAGUCACACUUCUAAAGACAAAUGGAUACUGGUCAGGAACAUACAUCUGCCUUUUUGUCAAUGGGAACAUAGCUCACAUGGCCACGGCACCUAUUUCAAUCGCACUUCUGCCAGAGGUCAUUAAUGUGACAAGCAAUCCACAAACUGCAGAUUGUUCUGCAUCACCAUCCACCAAAGUUAGCAUGUUAUGUUCCAUCGAAAACAGCACUGAAACCUACAAACCCGUGCUAAAACUCGGAACUGUUGAAUCUGCACCAACUAAAGAAGAGCUAAAUGGAAUAAUCAAGUAUACAGCAGACUUCACUGUUGACUGUACGGCAGAAGGCAAACCAAGCUCGCUUGAGGCCAGUUGCACUUUAGAGAACUCUUUAGGUCAGCUGCGAAAUCGCACAAUAAGAGUACCAAUCAUUUAUCCCAGUGACUUGUUUUGUGCAGAUGAAGAAAUUGAAGACAGAAAAUGGCCAAAAACCAAGAAUAAUGAAACAGCUGUUAUAGACUGCACUAUGACAGGGAGGCAGGGCUCAAUGAAACGCAAAUGCAAUGGGAAAACAUGGGGGGAAGAAGUCUCUCUGUGUGUUAAAGCUGUCCUCAAUAAUGUAGCUCUGCAAGCAAUGGAUUUUGAAAAAGGACUUGGAGCAACACAAGAGGGCGCUCAGUUUAUCUUUCAGAGCUUGAAAAAUAACACAUCCGAAGAGAGUGAGAACACUUUUGGCGAUGUCAAGACUGCAGUUUCUGUUUUCAAAACAAUGAACAAGGCGUCAGCAAACAUGCCACUAGGCGAGAACCUUCUUGCAGAUUUCAUCGACUCGGCCAGCAGCAUGUUGAACGUGAGCUGGGAAGUGGGAGAUGAGGACGAGAGCAGUACACUGGCCUCACAAUAUCUGUCAUCCGUAGAAGGCCUUGUGAAGAGCAUCCGAAUAAAUGCCAGCGAGGGCUACAACGCCACAAACAUCCAGCUUCAGAUCUGCCGAAGCGGCAGCACUUGCAACAGAACCGUUUUCAGCGUGGACGUCGAGCUGAAUGCAACAGCAGACAUGGUGAAGACCGUCGGAUUACAGAGCUUGGCCAGCCGCCUGCCAAAACUGGGCUACGAGGAUGCAUUGUUUCCGAGCAUAGUCGUAUCCAGCACAGUUGAGAACAACACUCAGCCGUCGGUGAACAUCAGACUGGCUUUUCCGAAUGAAGAAGCCGGAAGUGCCAAGAUGACCUGCGUGUUCUGGAACGUCACGGAGCAAAGAUGGUCAGACGAUGGCUGCGAAUUCGUUAAAGGCCCCGGGAACCUCGCCUACUGCGAAUGCAACCAUCUCACCUCCUUCUCCAUGCUCAUGUCUAAGCAUUCAGUAAGCAUGCCUUUUCUAGAUCAGCUGACGUACGUCGGACUGGGAGUCUCCAUAUGCUCUCUCAUCGUCUAUAUCAUCAUCGAGUGUUUGGUCUGGAGCGCCGUAGUCAAAUCCAGCCUCUCUCACUUCCGGCACACUGCUCUCCUCAACAUCUCUCUGAGUCUGCUUUUGGCCGACUGCAGCUUCUUGGCUUCCUCCUUCCCAUCAAUCCUAAAUGAAACCCUGUGCCUUGUUUUGGUGGUGGCGAAGCAUUACUUCUUCCUUGCGAUGUUCUUUUGGAUGCUGUGUCUGAGCAUUAUGUUGGUCCACCAGCUCAUUUUCGUCUUCAGCCACAUUGGGAAAAAGAUGUACAUGAUCAUCGGAUUCACCAUUGGCUACGUUUGUCCGACAAUAACUGUGGCUGUUACUUAUGUGUACUACGAUCAAGCAACCGACAUUCCAUACUACAGCUCGAAAACGUGCUGGCUUACCUAUCAGUCAGCCAUGCAGGGAUCCAUACAUGCAUUUCUCUUCCCAGUCGGGACCAUCGUGCUGGUGAACCUGUUCUCCAUGGUGGUGGUUAUUGCAACCGUUCUAAAGCCGUCUGGAGCUGAAACCAACAAAAAGGGAGACAAAGAUGCGGCGAAAAGCAUCAUCAAAGUCAUUAUCUUUCUAACGCCUGUUUUUGGUGGGACUUGGGUUCUGGGUCUUUUUGUCUUUCUGAUGGAUGACUUUACGCAGUUUAUUACAUAUGUAGUGCAUUAUGCAUUCACCAUUGUCAACUCCCUGCAGGGCUUCUUCAUCUUGUUGACAGGAUGUUUUGCAGAAAAAAGGGUCCGAGAUGAAAUAUUGAGAAUAGUUUUGGGGAAAUCAGGAAAAGAAGGAACAGCAACGUCUACAAAAUAAAUGAUCACAUGCUGUAAAGCAGCUCCACGGAAGACAAUAGUGUCUUUAUUCAACUCAGAGGGAGCAUGUAAACAAAUUACAGGACACUGAUCCACCUCUUAACCCACAAAAGCAACAAAAAUAGAGGAAGGGGUGCAACUGUUUGGUGAAGACCUAAAAGUACUUCUUGUACUUCAAAAGACUU